RNAcentral lists this ribosomal RNA (120 nucleotides) under Escherichia coli. Lineage: Bacteria; Pseudomonadati; Pseudomonadota; Gammaproteobacteria; Enterobacterales; Enterobacteriaceae. The record is from RNAcentral.
CGCGGUGGUCCCACCUGGCGCGGUGGUCCCACCUGACCCCAUGCCGAACUCAGAAGUGAAACGCCGUAGCGCCGAUGGUAGUGUGGGGUCUCCCCAUGCGAGAGUAGGGAACUGCCAGGC